GGGGAACGCGAAGAAGCCUUACCUNCCCUUGACAUCCAGAGAAUAUGUCAGAGAGGGAGAGGUUCCUUUCGGAAGUCUGAGACAGGUGGUGCAUGGCUGUCGUCAGAUCGUGUUUUGAGAUGUUGGGUUAAAUCCCGCAACGAGAGCAACCCCUUUCCUUAGUUGCCAACCAGUUAAGUUGGGAACUCUAGGGAGACUGCCGGUGAUAAACCGGAGGAAGGUGGGGAGGAACAACGUCAAGUCAUCAUGGCCUUUAUGGGUAGGGCUACACACGUGCUACAAUGGCCGGUACAGAGGGCAGCCAACCUGGGAAGGUGAGCAAAUCCCAGAAAACCGGUCCUAGUCCGGAUUGCAGUCUGCAACUCGACUGCAUGAAGUCGGAAUCGCUAGUAAUCGCGAAUCAGAAUGUUGCGGAGAAAUCCUUCCCGGGUUUU
RNAcentral lists this ribosomal RNA (434 nucleotides) under uncultured bacterium. Its description in RNAcentral is "bacterial SSU rRNA". It matches the Rfam family "Bacterial small subunit ribosomal RNA", at positions 954 to 1382 of the family's 1533-position model. The record is from RNAcentral.